CCAAUAGCGUAUAUUAAAGUUGUUGCAGUUAAAAAGCUCGUAGUUGAAUUUCGGGAUCAGUAUGUCGGUCGUGCUUCGGUACGUACUGUCAUUACUGGUUUCUCCCUUCUGUAGAACCAUGAUGUCAUUAAUUUGGUGUCGUGGGAAAUCAGGACUGUUACUUUGAAAAAAUUAGAGUGUUUAAAGCAGGCAUACGCUUGAAUACAUUAGCAUGGAAUAAUGAAAUAGGACGUUUGAUUCUAUUUUGUUGGUUUCUAGGAUCGACGUAAUGAUUAAUAGGGAUAGUUGGGGGCAUUAGUAUUCAAUUGUCAGAGGUGAAAUUCUUGGAUUUAUUGAAGACUAACUACUGCGAAAGCAUUUGCCAAGGAUGUUUUCAUUAAUCAAGAACGAAAGUUAGGGGAUCGAAGACGAUCAGAUACCGUCGUAGUCUUAACCAUAAACUAUGCCGACUAGGGAUCGGAUGAUGUUAAUUUUUUAAUGACUCAUUCGGCGCCUUACG
Molecule: ribosomal RNA, 499 nt
Filed under: uncultured Glomeromycotina
Lineage: Eukaryota; Fungi; Glomeromycota
Description: partial small subunit ribosomal RNA
Rfam family: Eukaryotic small subunit ribosomal RNA
Source: RNAcentral